CAACCCUCAGGCUCCGCCUGGCGUUGGGGUCCUGCGCUGCAGCCCCCGAAAGUCAGCGGCGGGUGCGCCCUCGCACCGAACGCAGUAAUACAUCUCGUUCUGGGACGCGGGCGCUCUCCGGCCGUAAAAAGACACCACUUUCCAAU
This 146-nucleotide unclassified non-coding RNA is filed under the name uncultured Chaetosphaeriales. RNAcentral describes it as "sequence contains ITS2". The record is from RNAcentral. Lineage: Eukaryota; Fungi; Ascomycota; Sordariomycetes.